Molecule: ribosomal RNA, 502 nt
Filed under: uncultured Arthrobacter sp.
Lineage: Bacteria; Bacillati; Actinomycetota; Actinomycetes; Micrococcales; Micrococcaceae
Description: bacterial SSU rRNA
Rfam family: Bacterial small subunit ribosomal RNA
Source: RNAcentral
UGCAGUCGAACGAUGAUCCCAGCUUGCUGGGGGAUUAGUGGCGAACGGGUGAGUAACACGUGAGUAACCUGCCCUUGACUCUGGGAUAAGCCUGGGAAACUGGGUCUAAUACCGGAUACGACCAUCUGGCGCAUGUCAUGGUGGUGGAAAGCUUUUGUGGUUUUGGAUGGACUCGCGGCCUAUCAGCUUGUUGGUGGGGUAAUGGCCUACCAAGGCGACGACGGGUAGCCGGCCUGAGAGGGUGACCGGCCACACUGGGACUGAGACACGGCCCAGACUCCUGCGGGAGGCAGCAGUGGGGAAUAUUGCACAAUGGGCGCAAGCCUGAUGCAGCGACGCCGCGUGAGGGAUGACGGCCUUCGGGUUGUAAACCUCUUUCAGUAGGGAAGAAGCGUAAGUGACGGUACCUGCAGAAGAAGCGCCGGCUAACUACGUGCCAGCAGCCGCGGUAAUACGUAGGGCGCAAGCGUUAUCCGGAAUUAUUGGGCGUAAAGAGCUCGUA